Molecule: transfer RNA, 72 nt
Filed under: Marmota marmota marmota (Alpine marmot)
Lineage: Eukaryota; Metazoa; Chordata; Mammalia; Rodentia; Sciuridae
Also listed under: 4 other names
Rfam family: tRNA
About the family: Transfer RNA (tRNA) molecules are approximately 80 nucleotides in length. Their secondary structure includes four short double-helical elements and three loops (D, anti-codon, and T loops). Further hydrogen bonds mediate the characteristic L-shaped molecular structure. tRNAs have two regions of fundamental functional importance: the anti-codon, which is responsible for specific mRNA codon recognition, and the 3' end, to which the tRNAs corresponding amino acid is attached (by aminoacyl-tRNA synthetases). tRNAs cope with the degeneracy of the genetic code in two manners: having more than one tRNA (with a specific anti-codon) for a particular amino acid; and 'wobble' base-pairing, i.e. permitting non-standard base-pairing at the 3rd anti-codon position.
Source: Rfam by way of RNAcentral
GGCACUGUGGCUCAGUGGUAGAGUGCUUGCCUAGUGUGUAUGAGGCACUGGGUUCAAUUCUCAACACUGCAU